Molecule: ribosomal RNA, 2543 nt
Filed under: Tsengia northlandica
Lineage: Eukaryota; Rhodophyta; Florideophyceae; Halymeniales; Tsengiaceae
Description: partial large subunit ribosomal RNA
Rfam family: Eukaryotic large subunit ribosomal RNA
Source: RNAcentral
CGGCGAGCGAAGCGGGAAGAGCCCAAAAUGAAAAGCCAGCUUGCUGGCAUUGUAGUUGAGCGACCUUGGGGUGUCAGUCUGGGUAAGUCGCAUGGAAAUGCGUGCCGUGGAGGGUGAGAGCCCCGUCCAUCCCAUUCAGGACACUCCGCACAAGGGCGUUUCAGACGAGUCGGGUAGCUUGGGAAUGCUGCUCUAAUUGGUGGUAAAUCUCAUCAAAGGCUAAAUAACGGUGGGAGACCGAUAGCGAACAAGUACCGUGAGGGAAAGAUGACAAGCACUUUGAAAAGAGGGUGAAAAGAGCCUGAAACCGUUACGGGGGAAGCGGAUUGCGUUGGCCUGGUGGCCGCCUGUGUGUUCAGCCUUUUGGGUGCAUUGAUGCAGGUGGUUAUCCGUCGUGGCUUCUCGGGGGUCGAAUUUGGGCCGCUGGGGGGUGAGGGCUCCCCUUUAAUUUGGGUGAGGACGACGGAGUGACGACGCGAUACGACCCGUCUUGAAACACGGACCAAGGAGUCUAGCGCGGGUGCGAGUCGGAGGGUGUGAAAACCCGUGGGCGAAGUGAAAGCGAGUUUUAAAAACGAGCAGUUUGGGGCGGCAUAGAAUCGUUGAUUCUAGGUCCGACCUUGAGCAGUUGCGCUGGGACCCGAAAGAUGGUGAACUAUGCCGGAGUAGGGCAAAGCCAGAAGAAAUUCUGGUGGAGGCUCGUAGCGGUGCUGACGUGCAAAUCGCUCGUCGAACUUGGGUAUAGGGGCGAAAGACUAAUCGAACCAUCUAGUAGCUGGUUCCCUCCGAAGUUUCUCUCAGGAUAGCAGGCCGACAAGUUGUUUUGUGCGGUAAAGCGAAUGAUUAGCGUACUCGGGGACGUUUAGUCUUUGGACGAUUCUCAAACUUUCAAUGCGCAAGGGUACCGGUGCUUUGUUGAGCGGUACCGAUAAAAACGUCGGCCUUGUGGGCCAUCGAGACAGCAGGACGGUGGCCAUGGAAGUCGGAAUCCGCCAAGGAGUGUGUAACAACUCACCUGCCGAAUGAAUUAGCCCUGAAAAUGGAUGGCGCUUAAGCGGGCGACCGACACCAUGCCGUCUGUGAAAUGUAUUUCAGAUGAGUAGGAGGGCGUGGCGGCCGUGUCGAAGCGUGCUUGCAGAGGCAUGUGGAACGGCCGCUAGUGCAGAUCUUGGUGGUAGUAGCAAAUAUUCAAGCGAGAUCCUUGAAGGGCGAAGCGGGGAAGGGUUCCACGCGAACAUUGAUUGGGCGUGGGUGAGUCGUUCCUAAGCCGAGUGGCGAUUGCUAAGUAGCGGCGAAAGGGAAGCGGGUUGACAUUCCCGCACACGGAUGUGGAGGCGGUGACGCUUUAUUGGGGCGAACACGCUGGCGGUGGCGCUGGGCAGAGUUGUCUUUUCUGUUUGACCGCUGAUGCACGCGGUGUGGAAUCCGCUUGUCGGGAGAAACACGCGUGUACGGGCAGAGCGCCGGGGCUUUUCCGGCGUCCAGCUCGCCACCGACGGCCCUUGAAACUUUGCCUGCUGGUAUUUUUAAUAAAGAUCCACGCCGUGGCGUACCGAUCACCGCAUCAGGUCCCCAAGGUGAACAGCCUCUGCUCGAUAUGAACAAUGCAGGUAAGGGAAGUCGGCAAAUUGGACCCGUAACUUUGGGAAAAGGGUUGGCUCUAGUGCUGCGUGGGAGUGGUUGUCGAGUGUUGGUGUGUCUAGGCUUGCUGGAAUGAGCGCGGGCCCUUCGGGGACUGUGUUUAUCUGGCGGGCCCGGGCGCGCCACGCUCGACGACGCCCACAGCAUGCAGCAGACUAGAACUGCAACGGGCAAAGGGAAUCCGACUGUUUAAUUAAAACAAAGCAUUGCGAGGGCCGUGGCCGGUGAUGACGCAAUGUGAUUUCUGCUCAGUGCUCUGAAUGUCAAAGUGAAGAGAUUCAAUCAAGCGCGGGUAAACAGCGGGAGUAACUAUGACUCUCUUAAGGUAGCCAAAUGCCUCGUCAUCUAAUUAGUGACGCGCAUGAAUGGAUUAACGAGAUUCCUACUGUCCCUAUCUGCUUCUAGCGAAACCACAGCCGAGGGAACGGGCUCGGCGAAAUCGGCGGGGAAAGAAGACCCUGUUGAGCUUGACUCUAUUCUAAUUUUGUGAAGCAAGCUGGGAGGUGUAGCAUAGGUGGGAGACUUUGGUCGUCCGUGAAAUACCACUACUCCCAGUCUUGCUUUACUUACUGGGUGGGUGUGGAUGAGUCUUACGACUCUUUUCUGGAACCAACCUGAUUUAAUUUGGGGACCACAGCUCAGUACACAUUUAGGAGGGGAGUUUGGCUGGGGCGGUACAUCUUCUACAAGACAACGAAGGUGUCCAAAGAUAAGCUCAGUGAGAACAGAAAUCUCACGUAGCGCAAAAGGGUAAAAGCUUGUUUGAUUUUGAUUUUCAGUGCGAGUCAAAAACGCGAAAGCGUGGCCUAUCGAUCCUUUCACGAUUCGAGAUUUGAAGCGAGAGGUGUCAGAAAAGUUACCACAGGGAUAACUGGCUUGUGGCGGCCAAGCGUUCAUAGCGA